Molecule: ribosomal RNA, 1176 nt
Filed under: uncultured bacterium
Lineage: Bacteria
Description: bacterial SSU rRNA
Rfam family: Bacterial small subunit ribosomal RNA
Source: RNAcentral
AUACCAAGAUGUGGCCCCCUGGGAGGCAUCUCCUAGGGAUUAAAUGGUUUUUCGCUUCAGAAGCGGUUUACGGCCCUAUCAGCUUGUGGGCGGGGUAAUGGCCCACCAAGGCUUCGACGGGUAGCGGGUCUGAGAGGAUGAUCCCGCCCGAGUGGGACUGAGACACGGCCCACACACCUACGGGUGGCAGCAGUUUGGAAUAUUGCACAAUGGGGGAAACCCUGAUGCAGCGACGCCGCGUGGAGGAUGAAGGAUCUAGGUCUGUAAACUCCUUUUAUCGGGAAAGACUUAGGACGGUACCCGAUGAAUAAGCACCGGCUAACUACGUGCCAGCAGCCGCGGUAAGACGUAGGGUGCAAGCGUUGUCCGGAUUUACUGGGCGUAAAGGACGCGUAGGCGGUCCGUUAAGUGUGAAGUGAAAUCUCCAGAGCUCAACUCGGAAACUGCUUCGCAUACUGGCGGACUAGAGGGAUGCAGAGGUAGCUAGAAUUCCUGGUGUAGCGGUGAAAUGCGUUGAUAUCAGGAGGAAUACCCAUGGCGAAGGCAGGCUACUGGGCAUCAUCUGACGCUGAGGCGUGAAAGCGUGGGUAGCAAACAGGAUUAGAUACCCUGGUAGUCCACGCCCUAAACGAUGGAUACUAGACGUAAGAGGUAUCGACCCCUCUUGUGUCGCAGCAAACGCACUAAGUAUCCCGCCUGGGGACUACGGCCGCAAGGUUGAAACUCAAAUGAAUUGACGGGGACCCGCACAAGCGGUGGAGCAUGUGGAUUAAUUCGAUACUAACCGAAGAACCUUACCCAGGUUUGACAUCGAUCGUAAGUCCAAGAGAUUGGACCCUCUUCCCAAAAGGAAGACGUGAAGACACUUGUUGCAUGGCUGUCGUCAGCUCGUGCCGUGAGGUGUACGGUUAAGUCCGCCAACGAGCGCAACCCUCGUCCUAUGUUGCCAGCGAGAAAGUCGGGAACUCAUAGGAGACCGCCGGUGUAAACCGGAGGAAGGUGGGGAUGACGUCAAGUCAGCAUGGCAGUUACGCCUGGGGCUUCACACAUGCUACAAUGGGCGAAACAAAGGGAUGCAAUAUCGCGAGAUGGAGCUAAUCCCAAAAAUACGCCCCCAGUUCAGAUUGCAGUCUGCAACUCGACUGCAUGAAGGUGGAAUCGCUAGUAAACGCAGGU